Molecule: ribosomal RNA, 208 nt
Filed under: uncultured bacterium
Lineage: Bacteria
Description: partial 16S ribosomal RNA
Rfam family: Bacterial small subunit ribosomal RNA
Source: RNAcentral
CGCGUAGGCGGUUCGUUAAGUUGCUGGUGAAAUCCCGGGGCUCAACUCCGGGGCUGCCGGCAAGACUGGCGGGCUCGAGCACGGUAGAGGCGGAUGGAAUUCCCGGUGUAGCGGUGGAAUGCGUAGAUAUCGGGAAGAAUACCGGUGGCGAAGGCGUUCCGCUGGGCCGUUGCUGACGCUGAGGCGCGACAGCGUGGGGAGCAAACAG